Molecule: ribosomal RNA, 462 nt
Rfam family: 5.8S ribosomal RNA (bases 103-256)
GGGGGCCCUCCCUCUGGGGGGACAGCGAGGCCACGCGCCGACGGCCCAUGAAACUCUUGUUUUUACCGAGUAACUUCUGAGUAAAGCUUCUAAAUGAAUCAAAACUUUCAACAACGGAUCUCUUGGUUCUGGCAUCGAUGAAGAACGCAGCGAAAUGCGAUAAGUAAUGUGAAUUGCAGAAUUCAGUGAAUCAUCGAAUCUUUGAACGCACAUUGCGCCCUCUGGUAUUCCAGAGGGCAUGCCUGUUCGAGCGUCAUUUCAACCCUCAAGCUCUGCUUGGUGUUGGGGCAUUACCCGGCCGCUUCUGCGGGACGGUAAGCCCUGAAAUUCAGUGGCGAGCUCGCCAGGACUCCGAGCGUAGUAGUUAAACCCUCGCUUUGGACUGUACUGGCGCGGCCUAGCCGUAAAACCCCCAACUUCUGAAAAUUUGACCUCGGAUCAGGUAGGAAUACCCGCUGAACU